Setaria italica (foxtail millet) is the source of this 1172-nucleotide long non-coding RNA. RefSeq lists it as uncharacterized. The transcript is spliced from 2 exons. The record is from RefSeq and is a predicted model, not a curated record. Lineage: Eukaryota; Viridiplantae; Streptophyta; Magnoliopsida; Poales; Poaceae.
GGCCGUCAUUUUUUAGUGCCACGUUCGCAAAACAGAUUGACAUGGACAUCGUUAAAUGAAGAAAGAAGAGGGGAGCCGUCGUCUCGUUCAUCGACGGCGUGGGCACAUGCUCCGAAGUGAGUCGCCCCCUCAAGUCGCGCGUUGUGCAGCCCGCUGCGAGUCGUCGUCGGCGCCACGGUCCCUUGCGCAUGAGCGGGAUUUUCUCUUGGGGUGGUGGUAAAAUCUUCUGGAGCGCGCCUUCUCUUCCUUCCCCAGAUCCCCCGCAUCAAAAGCCACAGGUUCAACAUCUGCAGCGCGAGCGAGCAACAUGCGGCAAGAGGAGAAGCAGGCGGCGGCGCGUGAGUUGCUUGAUGUGGCGGUAGCGCAGGAGCGGAGGGCUGUUGCGGCACAUGGGCGGAAUGCUCGGCGUUAGCAGGGGAGCUGAAGGGCAAAGCGCGGCAGCGGCGCGGGUGCGGAAGGGCGCAGGGAGCGCGGCGACUGCGGUGGAGCAGAAGGGCGCCACCCGAGCGACAGCCAUCUUCGGUGGUGGAUUUGCCGCAGCUGCUUCACCAACGGGAGCAGCUUCUUCACUGGCACCUUCUUCCCCAAAGCUGAACAUAGCCCACUGUCUCAACUCUCAACCAUCGAUGUUUCCUCAAUCUGCAGAUCCAGCUACCUGAGUGUACACUUUUGCAUGGAAAAGAUCCAGUCUCCAGUCAAUGUCGCUAGGUGAUGAUCCUUCUCUGGGCGGUGAUGAACCAGGCACUCUUGAAGCCACUGAUGAGGCGCAGAAGAACUGGAGGCCACGGAUGAACUCUAGAAUCUGAAGCCAUGGAAGAACUUGAAGAUUUUGAUCCAGCAAAGGUGUGCACAAAUUGAAGAUUUUAUCGCUGAGGACGAUACAUUACAAGCAUUUGGAAGGAAGAUUGGUGAGAAGUUGAAGACCAAGAUCGACACAUUACACAUCAUCUGAACCACCUCGUCGACUACAAAGAUGGCUGCAAAGAUCAAAUUUAUAUUUGAUUACCAUGUCUAUGGAUAGUUAAAUACCUUAAAGACAGCUAAAUAGACGACUCACUGUACAAGAUGUCCCUUUAACUAUCUGUAUGUGACAUGGCAUAGUUUACACACAGCAGCUGUCUAAACUGUUGUACAUGCCCUUAAUUAAUCAGAGAAAGUCAUCAUCCUACGCA